This 468-nucleotide ribosomal RNA is filed under the name uncultured bacterium. RNAcentral's name for it is "partial 16S ribosomal RNA". It matches the Rfam family "Bacterial small subunit ribosomal RNA", at positions 28 to 507 of the family's 1533-position model. The record is from RNAcentral.
GACGAACGCUGGCGGCGUGCUUAACACAUGCAAGUCGAACGGUAAGGCCCUGCUUUUGUGGGGUGCUCGAGUGGCGAACGGGUGAGUAACACGUGAGUAACCUGCCCUUGACUUUGGGAUAACUUCAGGAAACUGGGGCUAAUACCGGAUAGGAGCUCCUGCUGCAGGGUGGGGGUUGGAAAGUUUCGGCGGGUGGGGAUGGACGCGCGGCUUAUCAGCUUGUUGGUGGGGUAGUGGCUUACCAAGGCUUUGACGGGUAGCCGGCCUGUGAGGGUGACCGGCCACAAUGGGACUGAGAUACGGCCCAGACUGCUACGGGAGGCAGCGGUGGGGAGUAUUGCACAAUGGGCGGAAGCCUGAUGCAGCGACGCCGCGUGCGGGAUGACGGCCUUCGGGUUGUAAACCGCUUUCGCCUGUGACGGAGCGUGAGUGACGGUAAUGGGUAAAGAAGCACCGGCUAACUACGUG